Long non-coding RNA from Physeter macrocephalus (sperm whale), 2382 nucleotides. RefSeq lists it as uncharacterized. NCBI's taxonomy places the organism in Eukaryota, Metazoa, Chordata, Mammalia, Artiodactyla, Physeteridae. The transcript has 3 exons. The record is from RefSeq and is a predicted model, not a curated record.
CGGGCGGCGCGAGGAUCCUCUCCGGGGAGCAGCUGUGAGCGGGCACGCCGGGUCCAACCCCAGAGGCUCCAGCAGGGAGGCCGCGGGUGUGGCCGGGCAGCAGAGAAGAAUAGAAAGACCUCUGCACCUGGAGUCAAGAGCUCCUGUCCUAAUCUCUGCCACUAAGUGAUCAGAUGACAAAAGUCCAUCGGAAGCAGAGAUGGUGUUUCAGAGGCCUUGUAUCCCCCACGACCUAGCAGAUUCUGAUAGUUGUUGAUAUAAUGAUGUUUAAGUUAUAUAACAGCCACAAAGGAGAAAGGAAAAUUUUCCUUUUGACUGCUGACACGUCAAGAAUACACAAAUAUUAUAGCUGUUCAAACCAGUUGGCAAGCAGAACCCAAGUGGCAGAUGCGUGCCUUUGCUCUUUACGACAUGUUCCAACAAUAAAGAAUGCUGCUACUGAGAAAGCAAAUCUGAUACUUCCUAAAGGGAAGUACAGUUUACAAAAGAGUGUCAGCACAUACAAUCUCAGUUCCCCAAAUACUAACCCACUCACGAGAACAGAGGGACUAAGUCAUUCUGUCAUCCGUUUCAAGUAAGGAACACAUACAUACAUAUCUGACCAUCUUACCAAAGUACCAAUUCCCCCUUAAAUAGAAACAUCUACCCGUUUACCUACAAGUGCUCCUAAGCAUAAAAGGUAGCAAAUGGCAGUUCUCCGAGGCAACUUGUAACUACUAGAACCAUCAUAAGUUUCCAUUUGUUUAUAUGGUUUAAAAUCAAAAGCUAUAUGACAUUUGCAUUACAGCAAGCCUCUGUCCAAGAGUCAUUAUCAUACAUAGACACAGGGAGUCACUCGUAUUCUUUGAUUAGUGCUAAUACAUUUCUGCCUUUAUGAGAUGGGAAUAAAUGCUACCGUUGUUCUCAAAAAGCUAUGUGAUAAAUCAGCCAUCCUACUAUGCAAUUACAUUUAUUAUGAUUGCCCACGACAAAGACACAGACUUCUUAAAUAUUCCAAGUACAAACAACCAAAUGAAUUAGUCAGUAUUCUUUUUUUUUUUUUUUUUUUUUUGCGGUACGCGGGCCUCUCAGGGUUGUGGCCUCUCCCGCCGCGGAGCACAGGCUCCGGACGCGCAGGCCCAGCGGCCAUGGCUCACGGGCCCAGCCGCUCUGCGGCAUGUGGGAUCUUCCCGGACCGGGGCACGAACCCGUGUCCCCUGCAUCGGCAGGCAGACUCUCAACCACCGUGCCACCAGGGAAGCCCUUAGUCAGUAGUCUUUAACUUGCAGGUAACAGAAAGGGCACUUGAAGGAGCAGAGGCAAAAGCAAGACAGACUCACUGAGUCUAGCAACACAAAAGCCACAGGGGUGGCUAGGCUUUAGGACCAACUCAAAAUGAACUCCACCAGGACAAGAGGACAUCUUUGCUUCUACAGGUUGGCUUUGUUCUCCCUUCCUAAAAUCUGCCUUCUUCCACUUAACUCCCAGCUCUGCCACUCAGAGGGACUAUUCCAUAGUUAUAAUUUUUUAAAUUCUUAAGAAAAACUCAUGCUGGUCCAGCUUGGGGCCAUGUGGCCACCCCAGUGGCCAAGGUCCCACGACUGACUGGUCUACACUAGAACUACCUCGUUGUACUGGCGGGAAGAGCAGUAAGUCCUCCAGAAGAGAGGUGAGUUUACUUCCCAGAAGUGGAAAGGAGGGCUCAUUUGUCUGCCCCCCAAAUAUCACCACCUAUCAAGAAAUUCCAUUUCAAGUCUAACGCAAAAGCUUAUCUAAGCAGUCCUCAACCUGGUAAUAAAUUACAUUCUGAAAGUUGUUUAAUGAACUCUAAAGUUCAUGAACACUUCUGUGGCACUUGAAAUGCAUUUCACUAGAGACCAAAUGUAGAGAGACUGGCUUCUCUGACAGACUUUAAAGGCCUAUCGAACUCAUGAUUUAUCUGAAGUAUAAUGUUAAUAAUAUUUCUAAGACUAUACUCAAACCCCAUUCAUAACAUUGUUCCUAUAGGAAAAUGUAUUUGAAAUUCCACCUACAGCAAGAAAAACAUGCUCAAUUUAAUUCAUUUACUGAGUAUCUAGUAAUGAUAGUGGCUUCCAUUGUGCACAUAUCACUUUACAUUUAAUCUGUACACAAUACAGCAAGGCGGGUAUUAACAACUGCACUGAACACACGACGAAACUGGGAGUUCGAGAAGGUUUUGAAGCCUAAGGUCAAUCAUGAAGACGAGUCAGAGCCUGCUUCAGAGCUAUGAAUGUUUGACCCCAAAGCUGGGACUAUUCUCUCUGAUACCCAUAGCAGCCAGACAAGAGCGGGCCUUCAGUUCAGGUGACUAAGAGCUGAGCUAACGUUUCAGACUCUGUGUAAGCAUCUAGAUUUCCCUGCAGAGAAGAGAAGGAACUAGUG